AUGUCUAAAGCUCUGAUUGGUAAUCUGAUUGAUACUUGAUUGGCUAAGCGAGCAGCCAUAUUGUGAUCACAGCUGUUUGCAGAAUGAUACGAAUGGUGUUUGAUGACGUUGGAGCGGUCCCAAAUUGGCGGUGGAGGACUUAAUUGGAUACUGAAAGUUGUGGUGGGGAUUCGAUGUCGCUUCUCUCUUUAUAUAGGACUCUACUCUCUGACCAUGGAGGAAGUAUAACAUUUGACAGGAUGUGUGGAGUCGCUGGUUGGCCGUGUACCAGUAAGCGUGUUUGUAAUAGAGUGAAAAAGCGCGGUUAGGAUUGCUGACGCAAUCCUCCUUACUUUUUGUGCAAUCAUAUCCUGUAUUCCUAUUUAAGCCUUUUGUUUCCCAUACAAAUUUCUGCAAUGGCCAAAUCGUCCCUGCUCUAAAUUCACUGGGGACGGGUGUGCCAAUUUAAAAAGAAGAAGAAGAAGAAAGGAUGUAUGAACGAGAGUAGGGAGCGCUCGGCGGCCUAUGGCCUAUCACGCCAUGCGGCACGAGGCAGUCUGAGCCGCCAUUUGUAAUUAUCGCACGGAGUUCGUGAAUAUCGUACGGUGAAAAACCAAGCAAUCUGCACAUCCAGUUCCGUAAAAAGAAACGAGGAUUCACUACCAGAGGAGAAGGAACCUUGUUAAAGAUUAUAUUAUUGAGCGCUUGAUAAACCGGAAGCAAUGACACAUGGAGAUGGAUGUUACGACAGACUACGCGGUUAAUUUUCAUAAAGUUUGCGAGGAUGUGUGGAAAAGAUCGCGGAUACGAUUACCUGUCAGGUCGAUGAGCGGCGGAAAGAAGGAUUUAGCAAACUUCGUGGGUUUUACCAACACCGCGGAAAUCGUGAGGAGGGCCGUAGCGGACAAACACCAGUACGUAAUUGCGACCUGAAAAGGUCUAUUGUGACCAUGCUUAGAUGAGCGCCAGAUCGAAGCUUUUGAAGAACCCAAUGAUCUGUCAGGGAUCGAUCUCCCUAAUUUGAUCGGGGGUGAUAAGCACCCAAGGAAUUUCUGUCUAAGAUAGCCGACAGCCGGACCAGUACACAUAAUGUGCUCAGCUGUUUCGGCCGUCUCCAUGCGAGGCUGUUUCGGCCGUCUCGAUCCGAAGCGGCAGCCAUCAUCCUCAGUUUUGCCAAUUAGGCUGAGGUGGUAUCUGAGUUGGCAGUGUCCAAAGAGAAGGCCUACCAGGGUGGUUAGAUCCCCUUUGUCCAGCUGGAUGCUACAGCCAGCCUUAAGGAAAGGAAAGCUAUCUCUCGAAAAGAUGCCUGGGAUUUGAAGGAGGCAGGGAAGGAUGCAACAAAAACUCUUUUAUUCUCGUGACCACACUAGUGGGAUGUGCGGCACGAGCCAAACGCACUUUGAUGAUUCCGAAAUUAUGCGUCAGCGUGUAAUGACACGCUUUAACGCCUUUUCAGAAUCGUGCGAUCGUUGGUCCUAAUUAGAGUCAAAGAAUUCAAUCUCUAUAAUCUCCGACUCGUGAUCGGAGCGAGUGCGAUCUUUUCUUUAGGAGGAAGGGUGACGAGAUGGGUUAAUUAAAAGAAUUAUUUAUAUUGAAGUUUUUUUUUAAAAUAAAAAAUAACAUUUAUUUUGACAAUUAAAGUUUCGAUACACCAUUGUUAUACCAAGUUAUUUGAAAGAAUUAGAAUAUAAUACACCGCAUUUUCCGUUAUAUAAAAAUAAAAGAAAUACAAGUGAUUUGGCGGUCAUUGUUAAUUAGAGAAAUUAAAUUAGAAUACAUGAUCAGUUGAUUAUACCACCGACGAGAAACUAUUAAAGACCACUAAUCUUACGGGAGUUUGUGUGACUAUUAAAUUUUUAAU
Molecule: long non-coding RNA, 1840 nt
Organism: Solenopsis invicta (red fire ant)
Lineage: Eukaryota; Metazoa; Arthropoda; Insecta; Hymenoptera; Formicidae
Exons: 4
Source: RefSeq, a predicted model, not a curated record